UCAGUAUCCUCCACUGCCACGAGAUACAGGGAAAGUUGACACCAUUCCCAGUUUCAAAGCUGAAAGCAUAUUGAUUGGAAGAGGUGACAAAAUUUGCUUCCUGAGGCCCCAUCAAUUUUUUGAACCAUACCCUCAUGGUGUUUUUGAAGACAGAGAGUCUUGAAUCUAUUUUGAAUGGCUUUAUGGGUCCAGCUGCCACCACAUGCAGAUUUGACGUUUGCCUUCCUAUAUCUGGUUCUCAGAAUGACGAUAUUUGGGAGUUCCCACAAGGAAUGCUGAUCAGAUGGCUAACGACAAGUGUGCAUUUUCAGUAGUUUAAAAAAUAAAAAUAGAGUUACCAUAUGAUCC
Long non-coding RNA from Eubalaena glacialis (North Atlantic right whale), 348 nucleotides. RefSeq lists it as uncharacterized. Lineage: Eukaryota; Metazoa; Chordata; Mammalia; Artiodactyla; Balaenidae. The transcript has 4 exons. The record is from RefSeq and is a predicted model, not a curated record.